This 253-nucleotide ribosomal RNA is filed under the name uncultured bacterium. RNAcentral describes it as "partial 16S ribosomal RNA". It matches the Rfam family "Bacterial small subunit ribosomal RNA", at positions 524 to 776 of the family's 1533-position model. The record is from RNAcentral.
UACGUAGGGACCAAGCGUUGUUCGGAUUUACUGGGCGUAAAGGGCGCGUAGGCGGCAUAUUAAGUCAGCUGUGAAAUCUCCGAGCUUAACUCGGAACUGUCAGCUGAUACUGAUGUGCUAGAGUGCAGAAGGGGCAAUCGGAAUUCUUGGUGUAGCGGUGAAAUGCGUAGAUAUCAAGAGGAACACCUGCGGCGAAGGCGGGUUGCUGGGCUGACACUGACGCUGAGGCGCGAAAGCCAGGGGAGCGAACGGG